Molecule: ribosomal RNA, 349 nt
Filed under: uncultured bacterium
Lineage: Bacteria
Description: bacterial SSU rRNA
Rfam family: Bacterial small subunit ribosomal RNA
Source: RNAcentral
UUGGAACUGAGACACGGUCCAAACUCCUACGGGAGGCAGCAGUGAGGAAUAUUGGUCAAUGGGCGGAAGCCUGAACCAGCCAAGUAGCGUGAAGGACGACUGCCCUAUGGGUUGUAAACUUCUUUUAUGCGGGGAUAAAGUUCGCCACGUGUGGCGUUUUGCAGGUACCGCAUGAAUAAGGACCGGCUAAUUCCGUGCCAGCAGCCGCGGUAAUACGGAAGGUCCAGGCGUUAUCCGGAUUCAUUGGGUUUAAAGGGAGCGUAGGCCGCCUUUUAAGCGUGUUGUGAAAUGUAGGGGCUCAACCCCUGCACUGCAGCGCGAACUGGAGGGCUUGAGUACACACAAAGUA